AUUGAACGCUGGCGGCAGGCCUAACACAUGCAAGUCGAACGGCAGCACAGAAGAGCUUGCUCUUUGGGUGGCGAGUGGCGGACGGGUGAGUAAUGUCUGGGAAACUGCCCGAUGGAGGGGGAUAACUACUGGAAACGGUAGCUAAUACCGCAUAACGUCGCGAGACCAAAGUGGGGGACCUUCGGGCCUCACACCAUCGGAUGUGCCCAGAUGGGAUUAGCUAGUAGGUGGGGUAAUGGCUCACCUAGGCGACGAUCCCUAGCUGGUCUGAGAGGAUGACCAGCCACACUGAAACUGAGACACAGUCCAGACUCCUACGGGAGGCAGCAGUGGGGAAGAUUGCACAAUGGGCGCAAGCCUGAUGCAGCCAUGCCGCGUGUAUGAAGAAGGCCUUCGGGUUGUAAAGUACUUUCAGCGGGGAGGAAGGCGGUGAGGUUAAUAACCUCGCCGAUUGACGUUACCCGCAGAAGAAGCACCGGCUAACUCCGUGCCAGCCGCCGCAGUAA
Molecule: ribosomal RNA, 506 nt
Filed under: uncultured bacterium
Lineage: Bacteria
Description: partial 16S ribosomal RNA
Rfam family: Bacterial small subunit ribosomal RNA
Source: RNAcentral